AUUGAACGCUGGCGGCAGGCCUAACACAUGCAAGUCGAACGGUAACAGGAAGCAGCUUGCUGCUUUGCUGACGAGUGGCGGACGGGUGAGUAAUGUCUGGGAAACUGCCUGAUGGAGGGGGAUAACUACUGGAAACGGUAGCUAAUACCGCAUAACGUCGCAAGACCAAAGAGGGGGACCUUCGGGCCUCUUGCCAUCGGAUGUGCCCAGAUGGGAUUAGCUAGUAGGUGGGGUAACGGCUCACCUAGGCGACGAUCCCUAGCUGGUCUGAGAGGAUGACCAGCCACACUGGAACUGAGGCACGGUCCAGACUCCUACGGGAGGCAGCAGUGGGGAAUAUUGCACAAUGGGCGCAAGCCUGAUGCAGCCAUGCCGCGUGUAUGAAGAAGGCCUUCGGGUUGUAAAGUACUUUCAGCGGGGAGGAAGGGAGUAAAGUUAAUACCUUUGCUCAUUGACGUUACCCGCAGAAGAAGCACCGGCUAACUCCGUG
Molecule: ribosomal RNA, 490 nt
Filed under: uncultured bacterium
Lineage: Bacteria
Description: partial 16S ribosomal RNA
Rfam family: Bacterial small subunit ribosomal RNA
Source: RNAcentral